Quercus robur (English oak) is the source of this 1405-nucleotide long non-coding RNA. RefSeq lists it as uncharacterized. The transcript has 4 exons. NCBI's taxonomy places the organism in Eukaryota, Viridiplantae, Streptophyta, Magnoliopsida, Fagales, Fagaceae. The record is from RefSeq and is a predicted model, not a curated record.
UAAAAUUAUGUAAGUACUUUAAUUUUGAAAAUGGUCAUUUGGUAAUCUUACCCAACAAUUCAUUUUAGCCCAUCAUUUUGAGUGAUUUUUGGACAAAAUUUUUGGACAAAAGUGAAUCAUCAAAGGGCUAAAAUGACUUUUGUGCAAAAUUAUUCAAAUAUUUUUGUAAAGUUAUCUGACUAAAAUAAUCAAUUUCAAACUUAAAGAAUCAAAAUGAUUUUUGGACAAUGUUAGUGCCUAAAUUGUAUUUUAGGCAGUAGGGAUUAUUCUGCUCCGUGACGUACCUUCUGCCUUUUCUUUUGAAUGAAUUCAUACAAUAAAAUUUUUUUAAAAUAUAUAUAGUACCCAAAAAGAGUAAACAGAUUACCGUCCAUCUAAAAAAAAGUGAUCACCGUCACCGCCCUUGUAAAUCCGAUUAUUUUUCUUGAUUGGUUAGCGAGAAACAGAGAGAAAACAGAGAAAAAGAAAGAAAGUUAGUUCUGGAUAAAAGAUUGAGGCUCUUGAAUUGGGUUGCCAGAUAAGUCCUCCUUUUGUUCUGUUUGUCGGAUCUUCGUCUUGGUGAGCUAUUAUUAUUAUUGCAGAGCACAAGAAGUGAAAGGUGAGGGAGUCUUCUUCUUCUUCUUCUUCUUCUUUUUUCUUGAGUUUUCUCGGCUACCAAACGCAGCAUGAUCUGAUGAUCAAGAGGCGUUUUGAAUUUAAAGUUCUGCUCUUUGUGCUGGAAGGUUGUUGUUCCACAACAAUCUAGAUGCUGAUGUUGACUACAAAUACUGUUGCCACCUUGCCUCAGUUACCACUAGAACUUCAAUGGAAAAAGGAGGUCACUUAAGAUUGCUGAACCUUGAUGGCUAGGUAUUGGUGCCCAAUUUUUUACUAUUAAUAAUAGAAGACGUAUCUUGCAUUCUAGCCAUAUGCAGUCUGCUUCUGAUAUAUGUCAUUUCGCUUGGCAAGGAUUUGGCCACAACUCAAUGAUGGUGGGACUUUGGAUUACCACCCAGUGGUGAUGGUCAUGGUGAUGGUUGUGGUGGAGGUAACUGGUCAAGUGGAUUAAUUAAUUCUUUACGGAUAAGGAAAGUGAGAUGCCUUAUAGUUACAAGAGGAGAAAAUGAAAGAAUGAUCGAUUUAUAUAUAUAUAUAUAUAUAUAUAUAUAUAUAAUUAGAUAACUGGUACUAAUAACGUUCUUUGUACGGAUUGGGGAAUGUCCUCAAUUGUUUUUGUUCAGAUCUGGAAACCAGAUACAUCAUCCACAAGAGCCUCUACUACCAGAGACAUAAGACUCUCUUUUCAAGCUAUAGUAUCUAAGAACCUUAGCAUACAAUGUUGUCAAAUUUUGUUCCAUAUUUCUAAUGUGGAAUUUUCCAUUUUUCUUUUGUGGGAGAGAAGAAAUCAUUAUAGGAGUCUGUUUCC